Molecule: long non-coding RNA, 843 nt
Filed under: Sus scrofa (pig)
Lineage: Eukaryota; Metazoa; Chordata; Mammalia; Artiodactyla; Suidae
Description: lncRNA (ENSSSCG00030026177.1, ENSSSCG00040044918.1)
Source: RNAcentral
AGGAGGACGGGAGGCACCCCCGGUCCAGCAGGCAGCGGGCGGUCCCCCGGGCCCACCCAGCACUCCAAGGCCAGCCAGCUCGGCUCCAGCAGGGCGGGCCCCACAUCCGCCUGCCCCACCUGCAAGCGUCAGGGACCCCGACCCCGCGGCUCCUCCGGCCGCUCUUGGGAAAGGCAGAGGGCCUGGGGCAGCCAGCCUGGCCAAGCCUCGGUCCCCAGAGGGCCUGUCAGCUCUCACCCGAUAACCUGUCUGAGUCACUCCAUGACUGUCAUUCUGUCUCCUCUUCGCAAGUCGGCCUCGGCACCUCACGGCCCGUGGACAAACCUGGAAGCCCUUGCCUGGCCGUCGUUGGAGCCACGUGGCCCCAGGAGCGCCCGGGCUCAGCCCAGCCAAGACGUCCCCGAGCCUGGCUCAAGCUGCACACCGCCCACCUCCGCGUCCCCACACUCCCCCCCACCCCACCCCCGAGGGUGUCUUGCCCUGAGACCUGGGUGGGACCUCUCGUGUUCAGUGUCCAGAACUGGGCCUGGCUCACUGGGGAGAGAGCAAGGCGAACGCACGCAGACACACAGGCCUGACAAAGGCUCACAGCUGUUGACAGAAAGAGCCCGGGACACACCUAGAGGCGGCAGGAGAGACUUCACGCAGGCCCCUGCAGUGGGGAGAGACCCCACAAGGACUCCAGGGUUUAAAGGGAGAGCAGGAGUCUCCCGGUGGCUCAGCCAGUUAAGCAUCUGAGGCUGUCACUGCUGUGGCACAGUUUCGAUCCCUGGCUCAGAACUUCUUCAUGCCUCGAGUGCGGCCAAACAAUAAAUAAAUAAAGGGAUGACGUUUUCGUUGUGG